CACGGAGCGAAGCCCCCACCCCCAGCCUCCAAAAGACCCAGGGAUCCCGGCUGGGGCGGGGGCCGGAGGCGCGCGGUGGGCGCGGCCCCGCCCCCGCUCGCUCGGCUGACUCGCUGCGUGCGCUCCUCUUCCUCCGCAGGGCCUGGCCAUGGCGCCGUUCGGAAGCCUGUUCCCUUAUCCGUACACGUACAUGGCGGCGGCGGCGGCUUCCAGCUCGGUGCACCGCCACCCCUUCCUCAACCUGAACAGCAUGCGCCCGCGGCUGCGCUACAGCCCCUACUCCAUCCCCGUGCCGGUCCCCGACAGCAGCGGCCUGCUCAGCACCGCGCUGCCGUCUAUGGCCGCGGCCGCGGGGCCCCUGGACGCCAAAGCCGCCGCCCUGGCCGCCAGCCCGGCCUCGGGGGCCGUGGAUUCGGGCUCGGAACUGAACAGCCGCUCCUCCACGCUGUCGUCCAGCUCCGUGUCCUUGUCGCCCAAGCUGUGCCCCGACAAGGAGGCGGCCACCAGCGAACUUCAGAGCAUCCAGCGGCUGGUCAGCGGCCUGGAGGCCAAGCCCGACCGGUCCCGCAGCUCGUCCCCCUAGAGCCCCGCGCCCCGGAUUCUGCCCAUUCCAGUCCAGUCCAGUCUGCCGUGCACUUUGUGGGAUGGCCAAGAAGCCAGCGGGCCUGCGGCGGCGCGCGGGGGAGAGGGGAGGGUGUAGCCGUCCCCUUCGGCGGUCAUAGGGGCCAGGGGUGCCGGCCUCCCUGGACAGAACGUUCUAGAGCCAGGCCUUGGCGCCUUGGCUUCUUAGCAAUGCUUCUGUAUCCUGGAUCUAGCCCCAGAGCCGCGGGUGGGUGGGGGUGGGGGAGCUCCGAAGCGCGCCUGUGGUCUCGAGUUGUUGGGGGGUGGGAGUGGAAACAUUUAAGUCCCAGGCAACUUGCAGCCAGGCCCACCGGGAGGGGCAGGAGGUGCGGAGAGCCUCCUGGUCCCUGUGGAUUUAUAUAUAUAUAUAUAUAUAUUUUUUUUCCUUCGCUGUGUCAAGUGGAAACAAAAAGCAAAUUUUUUGUUUUUUGUUUUUUAAAAGAAGGGGACAAAUGCAUACACGAACGCGAUUCUGUGUGUGAAGAUGAGUAA
RNAcentral lists this long non-coding RNA (1113 nucleotides) under Oryctolagus cuniculus (rabbit). Its description in RNAcentral is "lncRNA (ENSOCUG00000037851.1)". Lineage: Eukaryota; Metazoa; Chordata; Mammalia; Lagomorpha; Leporidae. The record is from RNAcentral.